This 500-nucleotide ribosomal RNA is filed under the name uncultured microorganism. RNAcentral's name for it is "bacterial SSU rRNA". It matches the Rfam family "Archaeal small subunit ribosomal RNA", at positions 234 to 734 of the family's 1478-position model. The record is from RNAcentral.
AGUGGGCGUAACGUACCUACUAGCCUACGACGGGUACGGGUUGUGAGAGCAAGAGCCCGGAGAUGGAUUCUGAGACACGAAUCCAGGCCCUACGGGGUGCAGCAGGCGCGAAAACUUUACAAUGCGGGAAACCGUGAUAAGGGAAUCUCGAGUGCCAGCAUAUAAUGUUGGCUGUCCAGAUGCCUAAAAAGCAUCUGUUAGCAAGGGCCGGGCAAGACCGGUGCCAGCCGCCGCGGUAACACCGGCGGCCCGAGUGGUAACCGUUAUUAUUGGGUCUAAAGGGUCUGUAGCCGGCCAUGUAAGUCCCUUGGGAAAUCUGGCAGCUCAACUGUCAGGCUGCUAGGGGAUACUGCUUGGCUUGGGACCGGGAGAGGUGAGAGGUACCUUGAGGGUAGGGGUGAAAUCUUGUGAUCCUCGGGGGACCACCAGUGGCGAAGGCGUCUCACCAGAACGGAUCCGACGGUAAGGGACGAAAGCUAGGGGCACGAACCGGAUUAGAU